CAGUCGCCACGGGAAUACGAGGGGGGCAAGCGUUGUUCGGAAUUAUUGGGCGUAAAGGGUGCGUAGGCGGCUUGACAAGUUUUGUGUGAAAUCUAUGGGCUCAACCCAUAGUCUGCACGGGAAACUGUCGGGCUUGAGAGUGGGAGAGGUGAGUGGAAUUUCCGGUGUAGCGGUGAAAUGCGUAGAUAUCGGAAGGAACACCUGUGGCGAAAGCGGCUCACUGGACCAUUUCUGACGCUGAUGCACGAAAGCUAGGGGAGCAAACAGGAUUAGAUACCCGUGUAGUCCCUGUCUCUUAUAC
This 301-nucleotide ribosomal RNA is filed under the name uncultured bacterium. Its description in RNAcentral is "partial 16S ribosomal RNA". It matches the Rfam family "Bacterial small subunit ribosomal RNA", at positions 509 to 807 of the family's 1533-position model. The record is from RNAcentral.